UCUUUUAAAGGGUAUACAGCAAUCCAGCGGCCUUAGAAGCCGCCACUCUUGGUGCAACUCCAAGUAAAAGUA
This 72-nucleotide transfer RNA is filed under the name Diploderma vela. RNAcentral's name for it is "tRNA-Leu". The record is from RNAcentral. Lineage: Eukaryota; Metazoa; Chordata; Lepidosauria; Squamata; Agamidae.